Molecule: long non-coding RNA, 194 nt
Organism: Maniola jurtina (meadow brown)
Lineage: Eukaryota; Metazoa; Arthropoda; Insecta; Lepidoptera; Nymphalidae
Exons: 3
Source: RefSeq, a predicted model, not a curated record
AGCAAAAAUACACUAUCGAAUAUAUCGGAAGCUUUGUCAAGGAGGUAGUUUAAGAGCUAAUGCCAAUAAAUGAUGUACUAUUUAUAAUCACAGAUUUUUGGACUUAAUUUCACAAGCAAUAACUAUAAAGUGUUUUUUAAAAAUUUCUUCACCAAAUUAAUGUGGGACCACUUGCACAGUAUACCUUUUCAAAC